Molecule: ribosomal RNA, 255 nt
Filed under: uncultured bacterium
Lineage: Bacteria
Description: partial 16S ribosomal RNA
Rfam family: Bacterial small subunit ribosomal RNA
Source: RNAcentral
UACGGAGGGGGCUAGCGUUGUCCGAAGUUACUGGGCGUAAAGCGCGCGUAGGCGGGUUGGUAAGUCCGCUGUGAAAGCCCGGAGCUCAACUCCGGAGGGUCGGUGGAUACUGCCAGUCUUGAAGGUGCUAGGGGGAGAUGGAAUUACCGGUGUAGCGGUGAAAUGCGUAGAUAUCGGUAGGAACACCAGUGGCGAAGGCGGUCUCCUGGGGCAUUCUUGACGCUGAGGCGCGAAAGCUGGGGGGGAGCGAACGGG